GACGAACGCUGGCGGCGUGCUUAACACAUGCAAGUCGAACGGAAAGGCCCUGCUUUUGUGGGGUGCUCGAGUGGCGAACGGGUGAGUAACACGUGAGUAACCUGCCCUUGACUUUGGGAUAACUUCAGGAAACUGGGGCUAAUACCGGAUAGGAGCUCCUGCUGCAUGGUGGGGGUUGGAAAUUUUCGGCGGUUGGGGAUGGACUCGCGGCUUAUCAGCUUGUUGGUGGGGUAGUGGCUUACCAAGGCUUUGACGGGUAGCCGGCCUGAGAGGGUGACCGGCCACAUGGGGACUGCGAGACGGCCCAGACUCCUACGGGAGGCAGCAGUGGGGAAUAUUGCACAAUGGGCGGAAGCCUGAUGAAGCAACGCCGCGGGCGGGAUGACGGCCUUCGGGUUGUAAACCGCUUUCGCCUGUGACGAAGCGUGAGUGACGGUAAUGGGUAAAGAAGCACCGGCUAACUACGUG
Molecule: ribosomal RNA, 468 nt
Filed under: uncultured bacterium
Lineage: Bacteria
Description: partial 16S ribosomal RNA
Rfam family: Bacterial small subunit ribosomal RNA
Source: RNAcentral